This 1404-nucleotide ribosomal RNA is filed under the name Labiobaetis vulgaris. RNAcentral describes it as "SSU rRNA". It matches the Rfam family "Eukaryotic small subunit ribosomal RNA", at positions 403 to 1789 of the family's 1831-position model. Lineage: Eukaryota; Metazoa; Arthropoda; Insecta; Ephemeroptera; Baetidae. The record is from RNAcentral.
ACGGCUACCACAUCCAAGGAAGGCAGCAGGCGCGCAAAUUACCCACUCCCGGCACGGGGAGGUAGUGACGAAAAAUAACGAUACGGGACUCAUCCGAGGCCCCGUAAUCGGAAUGAGAACACUUUAAAUCUUUUAACGAGUACCUAAUGGAGGGCAAGUCUGGUGCCAGCAGCCGCGGUAAUUCCAGCUCCAUUGGCGUAUAUUAAAGUUGUUGCGGUUAAAAAGCUCGUAGUUGGAUCUGUGUAUCGGACGGCCGGUUCGCUGCUCGCAGCGUUCAACUGGUCGGUCCGGACGUCCUGCCGGUGGGCGUCCGCGCGAGCGGGCGUCCGUACUACCCUCCGGGCUGCUCUUAACCGGGUGGCCCGGUGGGCCGGCACGUUUACUUUGAACAAAUUUGAGUGCUCAAAGCAGGCCUUUGGUUGCCUGAAAACUGUGUGCAUGGAAUAAUGGAAUAGGGCCUCGGUUCUAUUUUGUUGGCUUUUCUGAACUUGAGGUAAUGAUUAAUAGGGACAGACGGGGGCAUUCGUAUUGCGACGUUAGAGGUGAAAUUCUUGGAUCGUCGCAAGACGAACGGAUGCGAAAGCGUUUGCCAAGAAUGUUUUCGCUAAUCAAGAACGAAAGUUAGAGGUUCGAAGGCGAUCAGAUACCGCCCUAGUUCUAACCAUAAACGAUGCCAGCCAGCGAUGCGCCGAAGUUCCUCCGAUGACUCGGCGCGCAGCUUCCGGGAAACCAAAGCUUUUGGGUUCCGGGGGAAGUAUGGUUGCAAAGCUGAAACUUAAAGGAAUUGACGGAAGGGCACCACCAGGAGUGGAGCCUGCGGCUUAAUUUGACUCAACACGGGAAACCUCACCAGGCCCGGACAUCGGCAGGAUUGACAGAUUGAGAGCUCUUUCUUGAUUCGAUGGUUGGUGGUGCAUGGCCGUUCUUAGUUGGUGGAGCGAUUUGUCUGGUUAAUUCCGAUAACGAACGAGACUCUAGCCUGCUAAAUAGGCGCAGCGAUCCUCGCGCUCGCUGCGUAGCAAUCUUCUUAGAGGGACAGGCGGCUUCUAGCCGCACGAGAUUGAGCAAUAACAGGUCUGUGAUGCCCUUAGAUGUUCUGGGCCGCACGCGCGCUACACUGAAGGAAUCAGCGUGUGCUCCCUGCCCGAAAGGGCCGGGUAACCCGCUGAACCUCCUUCGUGCUUGGGAUUGGGGCUUGCAAUUCUUCCCCAUGAACGAGGAAUUCCCAGUAAGCGCGAGUCAUAAGCUCGCGUUGAUUACGUCCCUGCCCUUUGUACACACCGCCCGUCGCUACUACCGAUUGAAUGAUUUAGUGAGGUCUUCGGACUGGUCCUCGGAGCUCCUCGCGGGGCUCCGCUGGGCCGGAAAGAUGACCAAACUUGAUCAUUUAGAGGAAGUAAAAGU